Molecule: ribosomal RNA, 469 nt
Filed under: uncultured bacterium
Lineage: Bacteria
Description: partial 16S ribosomal RNA
Rfam family: Bacterial small subunit ribosomal RNA
Source: RNAcentral
GACGAACGCUGGCGGCGUGCUUAACACAUGCAAGUCGAACGGAAAGGCCCUGCUUGCAGGGUGCUCGAGUGGCGAACGGGUGAGUAACACGUGGGUGAUCUGCCCCUUACUUUGGGAUAAGCCUGGGAAACUGGGUCUAAUACUGGAUAGGACCAUGCUGUAGGUGGUGUGGUGGAAAGAUUAGUUUCGGUAAGGGAUGAGCUCGCGGCCUAUCAGCUUGUUGGUGGGGUAAUGGCCUACCAAGGCGUCGACGGGUAGCCGGCCUGAGAGGGUGGACGGCCACAUUUGGACUGAGAUACGGCCCAGACUCCUACGGGAGGCAGCAGUGGGGAAUAUUGCACAAUGGGCGCAAGCCUGAUGCAGCGACGCCGCGUGGGGGAUGACGGCCUUCGGGUUGUAAACUCCUUUCAGCCAUGACGAAGCCCUUGUGGUGACGGUAGUGGUAGAAUAAGCACCGGCUAACUACGUG